GGAAGAAGCAGAAUCUGGAUGAAUGGCCAUAUUGCCUGUCCAUGUGUGCAUGAGGGGAGGGGCUGUCAUGUGAUUACAUGCACCUGCCACCAUUGUCACUAUGACACAGCAUUUUAUGUAGGAGUUGUUGAAAAACUUCAUGCCAAACGAAGUCUGAUUGUGGUCAAACGCUUCAAGAUAUCGAACUUUCGUGAAAACCGUGAGCUCCUCAAGGCUUUAAGGAACGUUCCAGUGUUCUCAGAUUUCCGAUAAAUGGAAAAAUGGCAGAGUAGAGCGAGUAGGAAAAUGAGAAAUGUGCUAUUGCUUGUACAUUCUGUCAUGUGAUGGUCAAAGAAAGCCAAGAUGGCUGCUGGACAGCAAGCAGCCCACAAACUGAGGACAAAAGAGGCUUAAAAUCUACCUGCAAAAAGCAGAUACAAGCAAAAAAUUGAACUAUUCAAUGGAAUGGACCCCUCUACUUUCUCCAAAAAAUAUUUGUCGAGUGAUACCAACGAUUAUAUGUUGGUCGCCUUCCUGGACAGAUGGAAACUUGGAAAAGCAUGAAAGUCUACAACUCCUUUGUGUGUGGUCCGGUCUCCUGGAGAAAUAUGCAUCGUUUUUGCUCGGCAGCGGCAGCUGUGAGCUUGGCUCCUCGGCUUCUCUCUGAGACACUUCGUGUUCACCGCAGCCAUCCGACCUCAAGAUAAUUGGAUGACUGGCCACCCUUAAACGACCCUGGCUUGGCGAGACUCCUUUCUCUUGCCUUUCUUCACAUCACAUUACGGUCCUUGUGUAUUGAGAAUUGCCUCUGCCACUGUACAUUAUUGCAACAACAGCUCAGUUUUGUUUUGCUCGCUGUUCCUUAUUACCUGCAAACACCACUUUAUUAUCAGGUCUACUGUUAUUUUUGUGAUAAAGUUUGAUUUGAAGCUUCCUGUCAUUUAUUAAUAAACAUUUUACAAUUGCUUUCUCACACAAAAUGGGGCCUGUAACAAAGCAUUUUGUAAAAUUGCAAUAAAUAGUCAUGUAACUGUUAUGAUGUUUUAUUUUAGUUUGACUCCUUUCAUUCGGUUUUAGCAACCCUGGGUUUGUGUGUUUUUGGUUGCCAUUUUAUCAUUUUCACCUGCCUUUGAUUAGAGUUCGGGACUGUCACCUGCUCCCGGGCACUAAUCAAAGAGCUACUUUUUCCUGCUUUUCUCCACACUUAGU
Molecule: long non-coding RNA, 1188 nt
Organism: Nerophis ophidion (straightnose pipefish)
Lineage: Eukaryota; Metazoa; Chordata; Actinopteri; Syngnathiformes; Syngnathidae
Exons: 3
Source: RefSeq, a predicted model, not a curated record